GCUUAUAACCUAGCUCUACCCAACUCGCAUGAAGAAAUAACCCCAUCAACUAUAAGUAAAACAUUUUACACACUUAGUAAAGGCGAUUAAAAAAUGUAUUGAAGCUAUAUAAAUAGUACCGCAAGGGAAAGGUGAAAUAAAAAUGAAAUAAUACUCAAGCACUAAUAAAGCAGAGACUAAACCUCGUACCUUUUGCAUCAUGGUCUAGCUAGUCAAAUCAAGCAAAACGCACUUUUAGUUUGACCCCCCGAAACUAAGCGAGCUACUUCGAAACAGCCUAAAGGGCCAACCCGUCUCUGUUGCAAAAGAGUGGGAAGAUUUCUAAGUAGGGGUGACAGACCUAUCGAGCUUAGAGAUAGCUGGUUACUCAGGAAAAGGAUUUAAGUCCUACCUUAAGCUUCUACAUAACCACGAUUACUUACAUAAACUUAAGAGCUAUUCAAAUAAGGUACAGCCUAUUUGAAACAGGAUACAACCUCUUACACAGGGUAAUGCACUUCAAUCAUAUAACAAAGUGGGCCUAAAAGCAGCCACCUUUAAAAAAGCGUUAAAGCUUUAUUAUAUCAACUAAACAAUUUCACUAACUUACCAAAACCCUUACCUCGUACUGAGCGACUUCAUAAAAUUAUGAAGAACCAUAUGCUAGAACUAGUAACAAGAAAUAGACCUUCUCCAAAAUGUAUGCAUAAGCCAAAAUGAACCACUCAUCGGCACUUACCGUUUAUGAACCAACAGUAGCAACUUCAACAAGAAAACCCUACUACUCAUGACGUUAACCUCACACCAGAACAUUCCAGGAAAGAUUAAAAGAAAGGGAAGGAACUCGGCAAAUAAUAACCUCGCCUGUUUACCAAAAACAUCGCCUCUUGACCUGCUAUAAGAGGUCCAGCCUGCCCAGUGACAAAGUUAAACGGCCGCGGUACCCUAACCGUGCAAAGGUAGCGCAAUCACUUGUUCUUUAAAUGAGGACUAGUAUGAAUGGCAUCACGAGGGUUAUACUGUCUCCCCCAUCUAAUCAGUGAAACUGACCCUCCCGUGGAAGAAGCGGGAAUAAAAAUAUAAGACGAGAAGACCCCAUGGAGCUUCAAACCCAACAUCAACUGCUUAAAUUUUACAACAUCCAAAUCCAACAGCCCUGAUGAUUGGUUUUCGGUUGGGGUGACCGCGGAGUAAAACGAAACCUCCGCGAUGAAAGGGACCCUUCCCUAAUCCAAGAGCUACAGCUCUAAGAAUCAAUAAAUUGACACACUUGACCCAAAUAUUUUUGAUCAACGAACCAAGUUACCCUGGGGAUAACAGCGCAAUCCAUUUCAAGAGCCCCUAUCGACAAUGGGUUUACGACCUCG
The sequence is a ribosomal RNA, 1346 nucleotides long. It matches the Rfam family "Bacterial large subunit ribosomal RNA", at positions 410 to 2528 of the family's 2925-position model.